This is a long non-coding RNA of Cyprinus carpio (common carp), 1350 nucleotides long. The record is from Ensembl. NCBI's taxonomy places the organism in Eukaryota, Metazoa, Chordata, Actinopteri, Cypriniformes, Cyprinidae.
AUGCAGUUUGUGUCAUCAGCAUCCAUACCAAUUAUCAGGGACUUUGUUGAAUCACACUUGAAGAAGAAUAGUUGUGUCAUUGAUAGCACAGUUGUCACAUCUUUAUUUGAGGAGUUAAAUGAAUCCAGCCCCAUAAGCAUGGCUUUUGAUAAGGCUGGCCCGCUGUCAUCAGCUUUCAAAAGGAGACGGUACUUUCUACAAAGGUUUAACGUUGUAGAGCCAGUUGAAUAUAUUCUUAAUCCGGAUGAAAAUAAGAGUUUUCAGUAUGUUCCGAUCCUUGAAUCAUUGAAACAAAUUUUAAACAAUGAAGAUAUCAGAGAGAAGUUCCUCACAGAUGAUGGACACACAAGUAUUCCUGCACAGUAUAGAUCAUUCCGUGAUGGUGCCAUUUAUAAAGAGAGUGAUUUUUAUUCUGAAGAGCAGAGAAUCUGUAUAUUCCUUUAUAUAGAUGAUUUUGAGGUAUGCAAUCCCUUAGGUACAUCUCGAAGGAAACAUAAGAUAACAGCCGUGUACUGGAUAUUGGGAAAUAUCCAAUCCUGUUUUCGGUCCACACUAACUUCAGUGUAUCUUGCACUUUUGUGCAAAGCUAAUGAUAUUAAAAGAUUUGGCUAUGCAGAGGUUCUCAAGCCACUCUUGGAUGACAUAGCUAUACUGGAACAAGAUGGUAUUUUGGUUCCUGUCCUUGGUAAAACUGUCAAAGGGACUGUUUACUGUGUAGUUGCUGACAAUCUUGGCGCACAUUCAGUUGCUGGCCUUGUUGAAAGUUUCUCAGGACCAUACAUUUGCAGGUUCUGUCUAGGAGAGCACGUUGACUUUCAAGAAAAGGAAGUGAGAUCAGGUGCUUUUCACAUCCGGACAAAGGAGGAUUAUUCCGUUCAUGUUAAGACUCUACAAGCAAACCCUGCACUACCCCACUGCUUUGGUGUGAAAAGGCCUUGCCCACUGACAGACAAACUAAACCAUUUUCACAUGGUUGAGGGCUAUCCGCCUGAUAUUUUGCACGACCUUUUUGAGGGGAUUAUUCCCAUGGAAUUAGCACUGUGCUUUAGUGAUUUCAUAGCCAAAAAGUACAUCACACUUGACGAGCUUAACAACACAAUCAAAUCAUUUCCUUACAAGUGGGGAGAUAAGACAGACAGUCCACAACCCAUACCCAUUGCAUUAUCCACUCGAAAAAGUAUCGGAGGAAAUGCCCACGAAAAUUGGACCCUCAUCAGACUGCUCCCACUAAUGAUAGGACACAAGAUACCACUGAAUGAUCCUGCAUGGAACGUAAUCAUGUGUCUUAAAGACAUAGUUGAACUUGUGGUAGCACCAACCCAAACGGAACUACAUACUCUAAAGGCAUGA